GAUGAACGCUGGCGGCGUGCCUAACACAUGCAAGUCGAGCGAACCCUUCGGGGUGAGCGGCGGACGGGUGAGUAACGCGUGGGUAACCUGCCCUAUACACACGGAUAACGUACCGAAAGGUACGCUAAUACGGGAUAAUAUUGUUGGAUGGCAUCUUCUAACAAUCAAAGCUCCGGCGGUAUAGGAUGGACCCGCGUCUGAUUAGCUAGUUGGUGAGGUAAUGGCUCACCAAGGCGACGAUCAGUAGCCGACCUGAGAGGGUGAUCGGCCACACUGGAACUGAGACACGGUCCAGACUCCUACGGGAGGCAGCAGUGGGGAAUAUUGCACAAUGGGCGAAAGCCUGAUGCUGCAACGCCGCGUGAGCGAUGAAGGUCUUCGGAUCGUAAAGCUCUGUCCUCAAGGAAGAUAAUGACGGUACUUGAGGAGGAAGCCCCGGCUAACUACGUGCCAGCCGCCGCGGUAA
RNAcentral lists this ribosomal RNA (466 nucleotides) under uncultured bacterium. RNAcentral describes it as "partial 16S ribosomal RNA". It matches the Rfam family "Bacterial small subunit ribosomal RNA", at positions 28 to 523 of the family's 1533-position model. The record is from RNAcentral.